RNAcentral lists this ribosomal RNA (501 nucleotides) under uncultured bacterium. RNAcentral describes it as "partial 16S ribosomal RNA". It matches the Rfam family "Bacterial small subunit ribosomal RNA", at positions 29 to 523 of the family's 1533-position model. The record is from RNAcentral.
AUUGAGCGCUGGCGGCAUGCCUUACACAUGCAAGUCGAACGGCAGCACGGGUGCUUGCACCUGGUGGCGAGUGGCGAACGGGUGAGUAAUACAUCGGAACGUACCUUAUCGUGGGGGAUAACGCAGCGAAAGCUGUGCUAAUACCGCAUACGCCCUGAGGGGGAAAGCGGGGGAUCGAAAGACCUCGCGCGAUUAGAGCGGCCGAUGCCUGAUUAGCUUGUUGGUGGGGUAAAAGCCCACCAAGGCGACGAUCAGUAGCUGGUCUGAGAGGACGAUCAGCCACACUGGGACUGAGACACGGCCCAGACUCCUACGGGAGGCAGCAGUGGGGAAUUUUGGAAAAUGGGGGCGACCCUGAUCCAGCAAUGCCGCGUGAGUGAAGAAGGCCUUCGGGUUGUAAAGCUCUUUUGUCAGGGAAGAAACACCGGCUCUAACACAGUCCGGGAAUGCCGGUACCUGAAGAAUAAGCACCGGCUAACUACGUGCCAGCCGCCGCCGUAA